CCCUUAGAUGUUCUGGGCUGCACACGUGCUACACUGGCAGGUUCAGCGAGCUUCGUGCCCUGAUCUGAAAGGAAUGGGAAAUCUUUUCAAAACCUGCCGUGCUUGGGAUAGAUGUUUGCAAUUAUUCAUCUUCAACGAGGAUUGCCUUGUAAGCGCAUGUCAUCAGCAUGCAUUGAAUACGACCCUGUAUUCUGUACACACCGCCCGUCGCACCUACCGAUUGGAUGGUCCGGUGAAGCCUCGGGAUUGUGGUUCUUGCCGCUUUAUUGUGGCGUGACCGCGAGAACUUGUCUAAACCUUAUCAUUUAGAGGAAGGAGAAGUCGUAACA
Molecule: ribosomal RNA, 329 nt
Filed under: uncultured eukaryote
Lineage: Eukaryota
Description: partial 18S ribosomal RNA
Rfam family: Eukaryotic small subunit ribosomal RNA
Source: RNAcentral